UACGAAGGGGGCUAGCGUUGCUCGGAAUGACUGGGCGUAAAGGGCGCGUAGGCGGCGCAGUUAGUCAGGCGUGAAAUUCCUGGGCUCAACCUGGGGACUGCGCUUGAUACGGCUGUGCUUGAGGAUGGAAGAGGCUCGCGGAAUUCCCAGUGUAGAGGUGAAAUUCGUAGAUAUUCGCAAGAACACCAGUGGCGAAGGCGGCUCACUGCCCGGUACUGACGCUGAGGUGCGAAAGCGUGGGGAGCAACAGG
Molecule: ribosomal RNA, 251 nt
Filed under: uncultured bacterium
Lineage: Bacteria
Description: partial 16S ribosomal RNA
Rfam family: Bacterial small subunit ribosomal RNA
Source: RNAcentral